AGCUCCAAUAGCGUAUAUUAAAGUUGUUGCAGUUAAAAAGCUCGUAGUUGGAUUUGUGGUCUACGUAAGGCGUCCAUCCCUUUUGGGUUUUGGUGUUGCCUAGCGUUGCCAUCCUUGGGUGGAAUCUGUGUGGCAUUAGGUUGUCGUGCAGGGGAUGCCCAUCGUUUACUGUGAAAAAAUUAGAGUGUUCAAAGCAGGCUUAUGCCGUUGAAUAUGUUAGCAUGGAAUAAUAAGAUAGGACCUUGGUACUAUUUUGUUGGUUUGCGCACCGAGGUAAUGAUUAAUAGGGACGGUUGGGGGUAUUCGUAUUCCAUUGUCAGAGGUGAAAUUCUUGGAUUUUUGGAAGACGAACUACUGCGAAAGCAUUUACCAAGGAUGUUUUCA
This 384-nucleotide ribosomal RNA is filed under the name uncultured eukaryote. RNAcentral describes it as "SSU rRNA". It matches the Rfam family "Eukaryotic small subunit ribosomal RNA", at positions 587 to 972 of the family's 1831-position model. The record is from RNAcentral.